CCCUGUGGGAGGUGAGGGGCACAGCCAGAGUGGACUCAGGAGCUGCCUGCCCUUGUCCCCUCCACAGAGCCCUGCAGAUGAAGACCCCUGGGGUGUCACCUAUGCUGAGGUGUCACACUCUAGACAGGGGCAAGGAGGAAUGUCACCUUUGUCACCUGAGUCAGGGCCAUUCCUGGUCAUGAAGGACACAGCAGAGGGAGAGGAUAGCCUGCAGGAAUGCCAGGUGGCUGCAUCUGAAUCCUCCCAAUUUGUGACCUACGCCCAGCUGAAGGACCUCAACCUCAGAGAGGGGACAGCCACUGCUCCUUCCUCCCAGGGACUGGAGCGUCCAGCUGAGUCCAGUGUCUACGCCACCCUGGCCAUCCACUAGCCCAGGACACCACUCAGAUCCCACCCUGCAAGACAGGGACACGGGGACCUCAGCAGGCACUAGACAGCCCAUGGACACACAGCUAGGAGUCGCGGCCAGCCUGGGGCUGACAUGCAGGGCCAGGAGCAUCUGAGACCUGCUGGAAGUCACCUGAUUCCCAGCACAAUAACUGGUACCAGUCCAUGUGCCACAUUUAGACACUUCAUUCUCUAAAUAACCAAAGGGCAAGAGGGAAAAAUCACAAGCCAAAUGUGCCAAUAUGUGAUGGGAAAACUACCAAAGUCAUGAUGGGCAAGAAACAAAGCACCUUUAGAUCAAAAAAACUUUCAAUAAAAUUUAAGGACAGGACAGUG
Non-coding RNA from Marmota flaviventris (yellow-bellied marmot), 723 nucleotides. NCBI's taxonomy places the organism in Eukaryota, Metazoa, Chordata, Mammalia, Rodentia, Sciuridae. The record is from RefSeq and is a predicted model, not a curated record.